This 497-nucleotide ribosomal RNA is filed under the name uncultured bacterium. RNAcentral's name for it is "partial 16S ribosomal RNA". It matches the Rfam family "Bacterial small subunit ribosomal RNA", at positions 28 to 507 of the family's 1533-position model. The record is from RNAcentral.
GAUGAACGCUGGCGGCGUGCCUAAUACAUGCAAGUCGAGCGAACAGACGAGGAGCUUGCUCCUCUGACGUUAGCGGCGGACGGGUGAGUAACACGUGGAUAACCUACCUAUAAGACUGGGAUAACUUCGGGAAACCGGAGCUAAUACCGGAUAAUAUAUUGAACCGCAUGGUUCAAUAGUGAAAGACGGUUUUGCUGUCACUUAUAGAUGGAUCCGCGCCGCAUUAGCUAGUUGGUAAGGUAACGGCUUACCAAGGCAACGAUGCAUAGCCGACCUGAGAGGGUGAUCGGCCACACUGGAACUGAGACACGGUCCAGACUCCUACGGGAGGCAGCAGUAGGGAAUCUUCCGCAAUGGGCGAAAGCCUGACGGAGCAACGCCGCGUGAGUGAUGAAGGUCUUCGGAUCGUAAAACUCUGUUAUUAGGGAAGAACAUAUGUGUAAGUAACUGUGCACAUCUUGACGGUACCUAAUCAGAAAGCCACGGCUAACUACGUG